This 75-nucleotide transfer RNA is filed under the name Caudoviricetes sp. Its description in RNAcentral is "tRNA-Arg". It matches the Rfam family "tRNA". Rfam says of the family: Transfer RNA (tRNA) molecules are approximately 80 nucleotides in length. Their secondary structure includes four short double-helical elements and three loops (D, anti-codon, and T loops). Further hydrogen bonds mediate the characteristic L-shaped molecular structure. tRNAs have two regions of fundamental functional importance: the anti-codon, which is responsible for specific mRNA codon recognition, and the 3' end, to which the tRNAs corresponding amino acid is attached (by aminoacyl-tRNA synthetases). tRNAs cope with the degeneracy of the genetic code in two manners: having more than one tRNA (with a specific anti-codon) for a particular amino acid; and 'wobble' base-pairing, i.e. permitting non-standard base-pairing at the 3rd anti-codon position. Lineage: Duplodnaviria; Heunggongvirae; Uroviricota; Caudoviricetes. The record is from RNAcentral.
AUCCCAAUAGUUCAAUGGAAAGAAUAGGAAACUACGAAUUUUCAGAUAAAGGUUCGACUCCUUUUUGGGAUACCA